CCCCCAAAUCACACACCAGUUGCCUCCCCAGAUCUUCGAUUGACGCCAUCUCCUCUCCGCCAGUCGCCGGACCACCUCCUCAGCAACGCCGAACCACUAGAUUUGUGUCGUUGAACCGGUUUGGGUCAUUUGCACCACCCCGCGGUCUGACUGAUGAUGAUAGCCAGGCUCAGUGGUUCGUUGAUGGUCGUUCAGCUUUUGAUGCAAUUGCUUUAGUGAUUGAAGAGGCCAAAUCCGAGUGAUGAAGAUGACUUGAUAUUUAUGUGCGGGUGGUGGUUGUGCCCAGAUCUUUAUUUGCGGCGGCCUUUUCAUACCAAUGCGUCUUCUCGCCUUGAUAGUUUACUGGAGGCAAAAGCCAAGCAAGGGGUUCAGAUUUAAUCCUGAUUUACAGAGAGCUUGCUCUUGCUCUUACUCUGAAUAUUAAUAGUUUUUAUAGUAAGAAAAAGCUCGGCACUUCACGAGAACAUAAGAGUUCUACGUCAUCCGGAUCAUUUCUCUAGUAGUGUCUAUCUAUGGUAACUUGGUCUCAUCAUGAGAAACUGGUUAGCCCAGCAGGCGGCCUCGCUUUCCAUUUUCUUUAAAAAAAAUCAAAAUAUGAACCUCUAGUUUCCGACAUGCUAAUGAGAGGGUUAGUUGAUGAGCAAGGGAGGUUGAAUGUAACAACGUGCACCCUACCAUGAAGUCGUGUGAUCGAGAAUGGUGGGAGACACAGGAACGAGGUAACCAAGUUGUUUCAUGAGAUGAAACGGGACAGGUUGGUCCUCGUGUCACAUGUCGCUGCCAGGUCAACUUUAUUAGAUCCCUAACAUAUGUACAUUAAUAUUUGUAUACCAUUGAUAUGUUUUAAAAUUUAAUAAUUUGGUUAUAAUUCUUCAUAGGUUAUAAGGAGUGUGAGUCUGUGGUCAGUUGAAUUGUAUUAACUUAUGUCCACUAACAAUCAGAAUAUCACAGUCGAACUUACUUUUACUAUGAUACUUCUCUUGCAAAAGCAAGUUAU
RNAcentral lists this long non-coding RNA (997 nucleotides) under Helianthus annuus (common sunflower). Its description in RNAcentral is "hypothetical non coding rna". Lineage: Eukaryota; Viridiplantae; Streptophyta; Magnoliopsida; Asterales; Asteraceae. The record is from RNAcentral.